Dioscorea cayenensis subsp. rotundata (Guinea yam) is the source of this 107-nucleotide small nucleolar RNA. Lineage: Eukaryota; Viridiplantae; Streptophyta; Magnoliopsida; Dioscoreales; Dioscoreaceae. The record is from RefSeq and is a predicted model, not a curated record.
AAUCCGUGUUGUGGACACUUCCGCAAGAGAUCCUUGAAUCUCUCCCAUAUCUCAAACAAGGACUCAAGCUCUAUAUGAACAAACGGCAAAAUCUCAUUACGAAGCUU